Molecule: long non-coding RNA, 1175 nt
Organism: Pseudophryne corroboree (corroboree frog)
Lineage: Eukaryota; Metazoa; Chordata; Amphibia; Anura; Myobatrachidae
Exons: 2
Source: RefSeq, a predicted model, not a curated record
UUAAUUAACAGAAUCCUAAUACUUCUGAAGGAGGUCAGUGCCAUAAGCAGUGUUUUAUCCUUAAUUGAGGCUAUUGCGGAUACACAGUAACAUUAACAAACAACGAAAGCACAGUGAACAUUGGGUUUAUACAAAGUCUCCCAUAAUCAAAUAGGGAAAUCAAUAGGGAAACCCUGCCAUAAAAUAAUAACUCAUAUUCUAAUGUGAAUGUAAUAACUUUAAAUAAGGUGUGAUAUCACAUUUUCCUUAUGUCAGUCACACAAAAGACAGGUGAGUCUGUGAGGUUAUGCUGUGAUGUCAUAAUGGGACUCAAACCAGAAAGAACCAGUCCCGGCUGGCCUGGUGGGGUCUGUGAGGUCAUGCUGUGAUGUCAUAACGGUAUCAACUGCCUAUAUCCCGGCUUGGCUGCUGCCUCUCUCAUUCUCCUUCAAUACCUGGAGACACAAAGCUCACCGGCAGGAGUAGAAACAACUGGCAGGAGAAACACACUUGGCUGAGCACUAUGGCCCCGAGAUGGAUGAUCACACUGUGGGAGACGAUAACUGCCUGCUGUCCAUGCAGAAGAUACAGGAGCUGGAAUGCACAGAGAAGAGAUGCCCACUUGCCUCGCCAUACCAGGCUUGAGGAAGAAAUGCCUCCAACCAAGCCAGUGGGUUAUGAUCACUCUGAUGGCAGUUUAUCCAAAAAACUAUCUCCCAGUGAGAAGAACAAGGAUCGCCAGAUAAAAGUCCUCGAUCUCAUUAACAAACAGUUAGUCGAGGAGAACAACUUGUUAGCAGCAGAAAACACCUUAUUAAAGAUCAAGGUUGAAAUGCUUAAAGACACGCUAACGAAGGUCAUAGAGCUGUUGUAGGCCCCUGUGUAACUCCGCCGCCGUUACGGAGGCUCACCCAGUAGCUGACCAGUAACCAUGGAUUCUUAUCUUUAUGCACUCACCUAUUAGAGCAGGGGGAAAUAUGCACUGAGAGGUUUCUGUAAUCUUCUAAUCGAAAAGGAGCGACCUUUCUUUUUUGAAGUCUGCAGAAAUCUGUCAGUGUGUAUUUUCCACCUUUUCUCACCUUCUCUAAUAGGUAAGUACAUAAAAACAGUGAUCCAUGGCCAACAUCUACUGGUUACAGCUUACUGUGGUUAUACCUGGUAGUUAAUCUUUAACAUCAAUAAAGAGCCAGAGCAAA